RNAcentral lists this ribosomal RNA (520 nucleotides) under uncultured Glomus. RNAcentral's name for it is "SSU rRNA". It matches the Rfam family "Eukaryotic small subunit ribosomal RNA", at positions 569 to 1088 of the family's 1831-position model. The record is from RNAcentral. Lineage: Eukaryota; Fungi; Glomeromycota; Glomeromycetes; Glomerales; Glomeraceae.
AGCAGCCGCGGUAAUUCCAGCUCCAAUAGCGUAUAUUAAAGUUGUUGCAGUUAAAAAGCUCGUAGUUGAAUUUCGGGAUCAAUAUGUUGGUCGUGCCUUGGUACGUACUGGCGUCAUUGGUUUCUACCUUCUGAAGAACCUCGAUGUCAUUAAUUUGGUGUCUUGGGGAAUCAGGACUGUUACUUUGAAAAAAUUAGAGUGUUUAAAGCAGGCUCACGCUUGAAUACAUUAGCAUGGAAUAAUGAAAUAGGACGUUUGAUUCUAUUUUGUUGGUUUCUAGGAUCGACGUAAUGAUUAAUAGGGAUAGUUGGGGGCAUUAGUAUUCAAUUGUCAGAGGUGAAAUUCUUGGAUUUAUUGAAGACUAACUACUGCGAAAGCAUUUGCCAAGGAUGUUUUUCAUUUAAUCUAAGAACGAAAGUUAGGGGAUCGAAGACGAUCAGAUACCGUCGUAGUCGUUAACCAUAAACUAUGCCGACUAGGGAUCGGACGAUGUUAAUUUUUAAUGACUCAUUCGGCGCCU